AUAGCCAUAUCAUGUUGAAACACCAGCUCAUCUAUGAUCACUGAAGUUAAGCAACAUCAAGCCUGGCCAGUACCUAGCUGGGUGACUGCCUGGGAAUGCCAGGUGCUGUAA
This is a non-coding RNA of Acanthosepion pharaonis, 111 nucleotides long. The record is from the annotation of a GenBank genome assembly. NCBI's taxonomy places the organism in Eukaryota, Metazoa, Mollusca, Cephalopoda, Sepiida, Sepiidae.